This 211-nucleotide small RNA is filed under the name Mycobacterium bohemicum. RNAcentral's name for it is "c-di-AMP sequence". It matches the Rfam family "c-di-AMP riboswitch aptamer (ydaO/yuaA leader)". Rfam says of the family: This family represents a conserved RNA structure found upstream of the ydaO and yuaA genes in Bacillus subtilis and related genes in other bacteria. The ydaO/yuaA element is thought to act as a genetic "off" switch for the ydaO and yuaA genes in its native state. It is believed that the element may be triggered during osmotic shock leading to activation of ydaO, a predicted amino acid transporter gene, and members of the yuaA-yubG operon which code for KtrA and KtrB K+ transporters. Lineage: Bacteria; Bacillati; Actinomycetota; Actinomycetes; Mycobacteriales; Mycobacteriaceae. The record is from Rfam by way of RNAcentral.
CCGCCUAGCGCGCCGAGCUCCAUCCAGUAGGCGGGGGAAACCAUUAGUGGAUGGAGACGGGGGACCCACCGGUCCACCGUGAUCGGACCGGGGCCGCAUGCGGCCCCUUGGGGUGAAGCCGCCGUCGGCUCUCAGGAGCGCGACGUCGGCCGGGUAGCCUCUCCCACCCGAACCCGACAGCUGACCUCGCAGGCGCGUGACGAGAGAGGGA